CAGGAGUGGGCCAGGAGAGGAGUGGAGUCUGCAGAAACCGGGCAGAGUACGCGAUGUCUCGUGCCGCGUUGCGGCGCCGCGCUCCAGGGGCCAAGAAGGCCGAGGCUGGGGGACCCAAGAGACUUGAAUCCACCUUGCGGGGUUUUGGAGGCAAGAUCUGCUCAGCGGUCUGAAAACGGAUCUUGCCUACGCAGAGCAAAAUCAGUUGGUGAUUAUAUCCACGAAAAUUCCUUCUAUUAAAAUGAAUUUCAAGUCCCACCUGCUUUCUGUGGAAGCAGAGAGAGAAGAGAGAAAAGAGAGAUAAGUAGAAGAAGAGAGAAAACAAAGAGAAAAAAGCGAAGAGAAAUGACAAGAAAAGGAAGGAGGGAAGGGAAGACGGGAAAGGAAAAGAAGAAAAAGAAGGAAGGAGAAGUUUUAGGAAUUGAAUUAACACACGUUCGAAUUGUCUGUGAACAGGAUGCAAGCGAAAAUGUGAAAUGCAAAACCCUCCCAGGGUGGAAUGUGCAAUUUCUUGUCAAUGCCCCACAGAAAAUAAAUGCUUUUCAUUUCUAGUCCCCAUUAACUCCAGAGGGUGACAGUCAACCCUCUGUUCAAUUCCAGAGACUUUCCUAGGGACACCACGUUGGGCAUGAAGGACUAAAGCCACUAUGAAGAUACGUUAACCAACUGUUUCUUUAAAAAACAAAAAAGAGGAAAUAACUUUCAAAAGUAGUCACAAAUGACUUAGUUUUUGUUGUUGUUUUGAGGAGUCUCCCUCUGUCACUCAGGCUAGAGUGCAGUGGCAUGAACUCAGCUCACUGCAGCCUCUGCUUCCUGAGUUCAAGUGAUUCUCCUGCCUCAGCUUCCAGAGUAGCCACCACGCCUGGUCCAACUUGGUUUUUCUAUGCUUUUUAAAAUUUUAAGACAGGGUCUUUGUCACUCAGGCUGGAAUGCAGUGGUGCAAUCAUAGCUCACUGCAACCUUGACUUCCCCGGGUCCUGGGCAACUCCUGUCUCAGCCUCCCAAGUAGCUGGGAGUAAAGGCCUGUGCCUCUGCACUGUGCUAAUUUUCUGUUGUUUAUUUGUUUUUAAUAGAGAUGUAGUCUGGCUCUAUGUUGCCUAGCCAGGUCUCCAAAUUCUGGCCUCAUGCCAUCUUCCCAUCUGCUCCUCCCAAAAUGCUCAGAUUAUAGGCAUGAGUCACCUUGCACAAGAGGUAAGGACCCCACAUCAGGACCUCAGGUUAUUUUGGAAAUACAAAUACAUAAGACCCACAAACAGGCCCAUUGGCUGCAGAGAGUGGGGCCAUUUAAAGAAGUUUUCUUUGAUCUGAAUACCGACUUCUCACUUAAGUCGCUGGGAUCCCGGACUACGGCACAGCUCCAGGCAGGCCUGCUUAUCCUGCUUAAGGUGGCAAUCCUCUUAAGCCUAGCGAAAUUCAUCUGGCCGUAUCUCAAUGAUGUUGCACUGAGAUUCUGACAGUCAACGUGUGUCACUUCAGUCUCCUGAGACCAACAGCUAUCUCCAGAUUCAGGGAGGUCAGUGCACACAUAAAUGGACUAGCUUUAUUAAAGAGGAUAUCUGGACCAGGCAUGGUAACUCACGCCUAUAAUCCCAGCACUUUGUGAGGCCAAGGCAGCCAGAUCAUCCGAGGUCUAGAAUUCAAGACCAGCCUGGUCAACAUGGUGAAACCCCGUUGCUACUAAAAAUACCAAAAAAAAAAAAAAAAAAAAAAAUUAGCCAGGCAUGGUGGCACAUGCCUGUAGUCCCAGCUACUCAGGAGGCUUAGACAUGAGAAUUGCUUUAAUCUGCGAGACGGAGUUGCAGUGAGCCAAGAUUGUGCCACUGUACUCCAGCCUGGGAGACAAAGCAAGACUCCGUCUCAAAAAAUAUAAAAAUAAAAGGGAUAUCUGAACUGGUGGGGAGACGGCAGGAUAGCAUUCAAGUGGGGUUGAAUUGGCCCAGUUGUAUCUGGCUUCUCACUUGUGGUUCCCAAGAAUGAAUGUAGAAUGUACUGGAAAUGCAGCAUCCUGAGAGGAAAGAACCAGCCAGAAAAAAGGACGGGAUGUGUUCCAGAGCCCCAGAACAGGAUGUCCUUUGAUGCUUUAGGCCAAGGUGCCAUGCAUCCUUGGAGCACGAAACCCAGGAUGGGCUGCCCUUCAGGGCCCCUCAGCUGUGAUGCAAGUGCAGCACACAGAGAGACUGCAUCUGCACUGGGGGGAUUUCCUGAGCCUUGGGGAGCAGCAUGCACGAUCCCAGGCAUCUGCCCAUCUGUACGGAACAAAUCCACUUCAUGUCACUUACUGUGUGUGUGUGAGGUUAUCUCUCUCUCAACUCAGACACGGUGGCAACCAGUGUGCGGUGAACCUGCUUCACAAGCAAGGUUGUGGAGAAACUGUAUCUUUGUAUAUUUGUUAAGAAUCUAAAAUACUGCAGUCCGUAUGGAAAACAGUAGCAUGGAAAAUUUGUAACAGGGUAACAGGCAAAGGCUGGAACAGUUCGGAGGGCUCAAAAGAAGACAGGAAGACAUGGGAAAGUUUGGAGCUUCCUAAAGAAUGGCUGCUGAAUGAGCACAAAGUCCACACUGAGGUUCUCAGACGGAGAUAAGGAGCUUUACUGGGAACUGGAGUCGAAGUGGGCUGUAGAAGAAGUGCAGGGGUGCAGCCCUCAAGGAGAACCUCUGCUGGAGCAGUGCAUAAGGAAAGUGUGAGGUUGGAGCCCCCCCAGACUCCUCACUGGGGCACUGCCUAGUGGAGCUGUGAGAAGAGGGCCACCCUCCCCAGACCCCAGAAUGAUAGAUUCACCAACAGCUUGCACUGCGUGCCUAGAAAAGUAGCAAACACUCAACACCAGCCUGUGAAAGCAGCCAGGAGAGGAGCUGCUACCUGCAGUCGCAGGGAGGAUCUGUCCAAGACCAUGGGAACCCACCUCUUGCAUCAGCGUGACCUGGAUGUGAGAAAUGGAGUCAAAAGAGAUCAUUUCAGAGCUUUAAGAUUUACUGCCCCGCUGGAUUUCGGGCUUGCAUGGGAACCCCUGUUUUAGCCAAUUUUUCCCAUUUGGAAUAGGCUUUACCCAAUGCCUGUGGCUGUACUGUACCCAGGAAAUAACUGACUUGCUUUUCAUUUUACAGGUUCAUAAGCAGAAGAGACUUGCUUGUCUCAAAUAAACUCUGGACUGUGGACCUUUGAGUUAAUGCUGAAAUAAGACUUUGCGGGACCGUUGGGAAGGAAUGACUGGUUUUGAAAUAUGAUGCCAUGAGAUUAGAAGGACCAGAGGUGAAAUGAUAUGGUUUGACUGUGUCCCCACCAAAUCUCAUCUUGAACUGUAGCUCUCAUAAUCCCCACGUUGUGGGAGGGACCUGGUGGGAGGUAACUGAAUCAUGGGAGUGGGUUUUUCCCGUGCUGUUCUCAUGACAGUGAAUAAAUCUCAUGAGAUCCAUGGUUUUAUAAAGGGCAGUUGCCCUGCACAGGCCCUCUCUUGCUUGCCGCCAUGGAAGACAUGCGUUUGCUCCUUCGCCUUCCGCCAUGAUUGUGAGGCCUCUCCAGUCCUGUGGAACUGCGAGUCCAUUAACCUCUUUUCUUUAUAAAUUACUCCGUCUUGGGUAUGUGUGUAUUAGCAGCAUGAGAACAGACUAAUAAAACAUCCCAAACUACA
Molecule: long non-coding RNA, 3629 nt
Organism: Callithrix jacchus (white-tufted-ear marmoset)
Lineage: Eukaryota; Metazoa; Chordata; Mammalia; Primates; Cebidae
Source: RefSeq, a predicted model, not a curated record